Molecule: transfer RNA, 87 nt
Filed under: Candidatus Saccharimonadota bacterium
Lineage: Bacteria; Candidatus Saccharimonadota
Description: tRNA-Ser
Rfam family: tRNA
About the family: Transfer RNA (tRNA) molecules are approximately 80 nucleotides in length.
Source: RNAcentral
GGAGAGGUGACCGAGCGGUCGAAGGUGCACGAUUGGAAAUCGUGUGUGCCGAAGGUACCGGGGGUUCGAAUCCCUUCCUCUCCGCCA